RNAcentral lists this long non-coding RNA (1496 nucleotides) under Homo sapiens (human). RNAcentral describes it as "non-protein coding lnc-ATG4B-2:1". The record is from RNAcentral. Lineage: Eukaryota; Metazoa; Chordata; Mammalia; Primates; Hominidae.
UUCCUCCGCAGACCCAGGCCCUCCGGAAGGGGUGAGUGGGGAGGGGCUUUCCUGAGCCUGGAGCUGGGCUUUGGGGCAGCCUGCGACCCUCCCCGCUUGUGUCCCUUCUCCUGUGAUCUCUGUGUUUUCCCUUUUCUUUCUGGGGCCAGGAAGUCAGGGUCAACUCCCAGGCCUCAGAUGCAGGGGCCCAGAACACCUGCUCUCACCUGAGCCCCAGGUGAAGGGGCCCGGGAACACCUGCUCUCACCUGAGCCCCAGGUGAAGGGGCCCGGGAACACCUGCUCUCACCUGAACCCCAGGUGAAGGGGCCCGGAACACCUGCUCUCACCUGAGCCCCAGGUGAAGGGGCCCGGAACACCUGCUCUCACCUGAGCCCCAGGUGAAGGGGCCCGGGAACACCUGCUCUCACCUGAGCCCCAGGUGAAGGGGCCCGGGAACACCUGCUCUCACCUGAACCCCAGGUGAAGGGGCCCAGAACACCUGCUCUCACCUGAGCCCCAGGUGAAGGGGCCCGGAACACCUGCUCUCACCUGAGCCCCAGGUGAAGGGGCCCGGGAACACCUGCUCUCACCUGAGCCCCUGGUGAAGGGGCCCGGAACACUUGCUCUCACCUGAGCCCCAGGUGAAGGGGCCCGGAACACCUCCUCUCACCUGAGCCCCAGGUGAAGGGGCCCGGAACACCUCCUGUCACCUGAGCCCCAGGUGAAGGGGCCCGGGAACACCUCUCACCUGAACCCGGGGGUCCCAUCCCAGGAAGAAGGGCCAUCUCAGGACAUGAGUCCUCAGGGGCCCUGCACAUUCAAUCUGAAGGUGACCCUGGCCUGGCUGAAGCUGGAAGAGCUGUGGGGACUCAGCCUGUAAACAGAGCGUAAGGUUCACAUGCUGGUUGCUUAAUCCGUUUCUGGAGGAAGAGUAUGACACCCACUUGUGAUGGGGUCCUUGUGCGGUGGGGACCGGGGCCGGCGGGCUCCAGGCCAGCACACCUAACCCAUGGAUGUGGAACCUACGGCCGAGAAGGAAUGUUGCAUGAGUCGGAUCCCAGUCCAUUGUCAGUGGAGGGUGAGGGUGACCCCAUCUGCUAUUUUUGUGCUCAUCCUCAUACAACCAUUUGGGGAUGUGCCUAUUAGGGCUCCGUAAGAACUCAGAUGCCUGGGAAGCCCAGCCCCUCAGGUGCCCCCACACACAGCCUUCCCUUGACGCCUACAUUUCUAGGCACAUGUGAGGCAUCUUUCCUGGAGCCCCGAGCCAGCCCUGUCCCUCCCCAGUGCAGCAUGGCACUCAGGAGAUACAGGCUGGACAUGGGGCAGUCGUUCUGGGGAGGCCUGGCCUAGCAGCCACCCACCUGAGCCCUCCCGGCCAGGCUUCGUGCUGGGGUGGGCCAUGUGCCAGGACAGGAGGGUCCCGGCGGAAAGCCAGCCCCGGACUCAUCGUGACAUUGAGAUCCCACUGGAGGGUAGGGGUGGUAAUAAACUUCUCCAAACGAUCGUUGUCAUUUU